RNAcentral lists this ribosomal RNA (497 nucleotides) under uncultured bacterium. Its description in RNAcentral is "partial 16S ribosomal RNA". It matches the Rfam family "Bacterial small subunit ribosomal RNA", at positions 28 to 507 of the family's 1533-position model. The record is from RNAcentral.
GGCGAACGCUGGCGGCGUGCCUAAUACAUGCAAGUUGAGCGCUGAAGGUUGGUACUUGUACCAACUGGAUGAGCAGCGAACGGGUGAGUAACGCGUGGGGAAUCUGCCUUUGAGCGGGGGACAACAUUUGGAAACGAAUGCUAAUACCGCAUAAAAACUUUAAACACAAGUUUUAAGUUUGAAAGAUGCAAUUGCAUCACUCAAAGAUGAUCCCGCGUUGUAUUAGCUAGUUGGUGAGGUAAAGGCUCACCAAGGCGAUGAUACAUAGCCAACCUGAGAGGGUGAUCGGCCACAUUGGGACUGAGACACGGCCCAAACUCCUACGGGAGGCAGCAGUAGGGAAUCUUCGGCAAUGGACGAAAGUCUGACCGAGCAACGCCGCGUGAGUGAAGAAGGGUUUCGGAUCGUAAAACUCUGUUGGUAGAGAAGAACGUUGGUGAGAGUGGAAAGCUCAUCAAGUGACGGUAACUACCCAGAAAGGGACGGCUAACUACGUG